GUGCCGCGUAGUCCAACAGCGCUGACUGCCGCCGACUGCCCGGGCGCCCGGCAGCGCAUCCGAACGAACGAACGCUACCACACCCGCAAUUCGCAACACGCGGCCGUGUUUACGAACGCUAUUCCAUUUUUAAAUAUUCAAAUUUUUGCGAGUUCUUGAGUGCUGUGUUACAUUUUGGAUUUAUUGUUUGUGAUAUUUUUAAGAUACCGAAGCGGUGCAUGGACUGUUGACUUGGUUAAAUCGAAGACAAAAUGGCGGCAAAUGGGUACGCAGGCCCGAUGCCUGGACACAUCGGCAGAAUUCCCAACUUCGGCAAAAGUAACCUUAAUUCGAUGGGCUCCGUGGAACCGCCAGCAUGCAUCCAAAAUGCAAUGAUGACCAAGGACAAGAAGCCCUUUACAUACACACCGGGAGGAUUGGAUCUCUCUCAAAUACGAACGCCGAGCAUGGCCAGAAGAAUGGCGAGACAACGGUCUUAUGAAGAUCAUGAUCAAGCCAAUCACGCUGGCUACCACCCACAAGGAGGACCCCAAGGAGGAGUUCCGCCUCCUCCGCCACCUCCACCAAAAGUUCCCGCCCCACCACCGCCGCCACCCAUCGUCAUCCAAGCACCGAAUUCCAAUGCACCGAAACCCUUAGCACCUGGUGAAAGACCCAAAAUUGAUAUACCAGAAAACCCAAUUGGUAUGUUGAGGAAAACUCACAGCCCAUACCAUUGGGAGGCUGAGAAAGCCGAAUUACAGAGAAUGGGACCGGUUCCUAAAUAUGUUGAAAAGGUGCCGAGUCCAUUAACUGUUAAAAUGCCUCCAUCAUCAUUCUCACAACAGCAGCCACAAAGCUACACUCCAAAGGGACAAAAUAACUUCCAGCGGACUAAUAGCCAGAAACAUCCUGAUAGUCCUAUUUAUAGACCUGAGGCACAAUACGCUCAUCAGAAAUCAUCUUCCCCGAACAUAAAUGGGUCACCUCCUACAAGGGAGAUUUUGCAACGACAGGACUCUCAGUUCAACAAGAGUCCACAGCCGUUCAAUAACCAGUCGCCACUUAGUAACAAUUCUCCCUACUCUCCCGCUCCUAACAACAACUGGAGGCAGCCAGAAAGGAGAGAUUCACCCGCUAGUGCAAAUAGCAAUACGCAACAAUCACCACAAUUUAACCGCGGUCCCUUUUCACCUAACACACAACAGUAUUCGCCAAACUUCCAAAAUCAAAGUCCUCCAACAAAUUCUGGGCCAGUAUUCCAUACUCUCCCUCGAGCUGGUCAGAGGAACCAAGAUGCGGUUAACAAUGUAAAUUAUAAUAACGUAAGGGAUGUUAAACAACAAAGCCCACAGGUUGAGCCUCAGAGCGCACCCUGGAGAACAAACACUUUGAACAGAUAUCCACGUGAAGCGGAACAGAAACAACCAGCUUACAAUAAUCAGAACGCUAAUGUCCAACAGCAAUAUAAUGCACCAUGGAAAUCAAAUGAGACUAACAAUAAUGACAAACCUUACGUUCCUCCAUGGGCACAGGAGGGCAAAAAUCAGCAGCAACAAUACACUCCACCCUGGGUCAAUAAUCAAGAUAACAACAAUAACAGAGUGCAAGAAACUACCGCACCCUGGAAAUCACAUGAGGUCGAAAGGUCACCACCAUCAAAGAAUGAAACUCCUCGUUACCAAUCUACCAUAUCAAUACCAGUUACGCCCAGGAAACAAAACACACAGCCAGAUUACAGCACACCUCCACAAAAAGAAGCUGUGUAUGUUAAUCAGGAGCCAGUGUUCUAUUGUCCUGAUAGUCCCAAGUCGAUACCACCGUGGGUAAAGUCACAAAAAGAGAAGACCAAAACUCCACCACCUGCCUGGUGUCAAAGACCGUUGGAGAACGUAAAGAAUGAUCCUAGAGAAUUAGUAACACCUCCGAGGGAUACAAAUACCGAACCAGAAUGGGUGAGAAAAAGUAACGAGAUGCAGAGAGGCGCUCGUGAAGUCGUAAGUCCACCUAAAUACCAACAAACUGCGCAACCAGCAUGGUCGACACGGCCUUCGGAAAAUCGCAAGAGCUUGCCCAAAGAUAAUGCUCCUCAGUCACCGGGAAGUCGAGUUAUUCCAAUUCAAAUGGAGGUGUCAAGCACGGAAACUAGAGAUGCGGGUAGACAAGGACAUCCGCAACCUCAGCUCAGAAUCACUAUUGGAAUGAAUCCGAAUCCUAAUGACCAAGCUCGGGCGCCUUUCUCCCCUCCAACACAACGUAUUAUGCGGGUUCUGUCACCACAGUUAGUGAGAUUAGACGAUGGACAAAUCCAACAUGACUUGCCGACAUUAAAUAGAACUUUCCAGAACCAAGAUCAGCCUAAGACCCGGAUCAUUCCUAUACAAAUUGAAGGAAACGGCGGGGCACAUAAGAGCUUCGGUGGCCGGUACUAAGGGGCUUGUUUGCCGAUCAAAAGUAAACACAUUUUUAUUGCACCGCUUCUGAGUCAAAUGUAUACUACCACAGAUUCACAACCGAAGGAGGUCCGCGGCAAUCCAAGGCUUUCAGAGUGCUGCAAAUCAUCACAGACACGCAAGACGGCGAUGAUAUUCGUAAAAUGGAGAAGCAACACGGCUUCACCGAUGUAUAGUAUUAGAAUUUAAUUAAGAAACGUUUGGAAUAAGUUCUCUUAAAGUUAAUAAAAAUGGUGAAUUCGAAAAUGCUAUAAAUAAUAGAAAGUAUGAACGGGAAAUAUUUUUUGAUAUUGUUUGAGAGUUAAGUAUACUUAUUAUGGCAGAACAUUUUAGUAAAUAGAUGAAGUUGCUGAGAUAAUUUUAGAAAAAUGAUACCAAGAUAAUAAUGGAACGAAGUGUGUAAAAUAAAAAUCGUAGUAUACGAUUCUUAUGAGAAUUUAUUGCAAAGGUAACAUAAUAAUUUAGAAGUAAUGUAUAGAAAAUUGUAUUAAACAUAAACAUAUUCGAUUAAUAUUAUUUUUGUAUAUAAAACGAAACUGCGAAAGGGUUAGUGCUUUGCGUGAUCUUAUACUAAUGCUCAUGGAUACAGCUACCUUACCAAAGAAUGUAUUAGAUAUUUAAUAAAUUAUUCGAUUAGUAUUAUUGAGUAUUCAUAACAUUUAACCUAGGAUAAUGUUAUAUUUUUAUACUGAAAAUACUAAUUUACGUAAUUUAGAUAGAUGGAAAAUAGAUUAAUCCAUCUUCUUGCCGCUUAACGUACGCACAAAUGAUUAAAUAAAUACAUUUAUAAAACAUAAAGGUACAAAUUUUUGUUUGUUAUAUUGAUUAUUUUUGAUGCAUGAACUUCGUUUGAAUCAACAUUUGUAAAUUGUAAUUUCGUUUGUGACUUAACAUUAUAACUAAGUUAUUUAUUUAUUUCUUACAGUAACUUUAUGCUAUAUAACUUCCGAAAAGCUGGGAUUGACAAAGAGAUUGUAAAUUACUUAUAUUAUGUGCAGUAUAUCCAUCUGUACCUAUAAGUUCAAUAUAUUUAAAGUUACCAAUAAUGGUUAGGUUAGGUUAGGUUAGGUUUCGCUUGAAAUUGUGAUUAUAUUUUUAUACAUCCUCUACUAACAAAUUUCUUUGUAUAUUAUUAUUGUUUUUUAUAUAUUUUACCCAAAAUUGUACAAUGUUACUCAGUCAAGCAAAUAAUACAACAACGAUAGAUAUUGGCGGUCAUGGCCAAACAUUGGGACCAAAGACGUUGAUCGAGAAAGUGUUAUGUCAAAUGUUGGCUUAUGUGGCCGAACAUAGGAUAGAAAUUCCUUUUAAUGUGUUUAUUAUACGUUCAUUUAGUAACAUCGUAGAGUUGUUUAAAGCAUUUCCGAGUAACUUUGUACAUAACUAUAUUACCUUAUAUUUCCCUAUAUCUAACUCUAUUAACGUCCGAUAUAUAUUUAUAUAAGUAUGUAUGUACGUGUACUAUGUAUGUAUUUAUUUUGGAAAGAUUAACAUAUGCAACUUUACGAAAACUAACAAAAGAAUCCUGAUUUGUUACUGUGAAAAAUGUCCGUGAUUUCGAAAUGGUUUGUAUUUGUAAUUAACAAAAAUGUAACAUGUUUAUCGAUGUAGUGGUGGAGAUUUUUUACUUUAGAGACCAAGGAAUAAGGGUCAUUCAGUUUCACAUAGGUAUCCUUCUAUGAAAGAAACACCGUAUAAAAGAUGUUGAAAAACGCCAUAGCAGCCGACGUUAAUGGGACCGCGUUCCGGGAUCAGCCUUGUUUAUCCGAUCUAAACAGUGUAACAUAAUUGUGUUAUAUAUGACCCCUACUUCGCUUACCAUCAGGUGCAAUGGAAUCACUUUGCCAUACCAAAAAUGGGUCUCAAUACGUUCUUAUUUGGUUAUUCCUACCGUCAAAUAACCUGGAGGCAUUGUAUAUGGAAAGACUCUCGCAGGAAUCCCACAAAUGCAUACCUAUAGAACAGGGGUGGCCAACUUGGUAAGACCCAAGAUCUACUUUUCACUGAUAAUACUCUGUGCGAUCUACCAAGCUACAUACAUCUUGAAAUCUUAAAUGAAACAACAUAGUUCACAGUACAUAAUUUAUUAUUAUUUUGAUUAAAAAAUUGUACAAGACGAUGCGUGCAGCAGUUAGUGAUUAGGUAUGUUGCGCGGUCUGUUCUACGUAUUUAUAUUUUUGCCUUGCCACGAUCGACUGGCCUUGUUGCGAUCGACCGGUUGGCCACCCCUGCUUUAGAAUGUGUUUGUUAUAUUCUUAACUAGUUUAUCUCGCAGUUCAGCCUUCGUGAAACAUUUUUCGGGAUAAAAGCCUAUGUCCUUUCCAAGGUCUUGUACUAUCUCCAUACCAAAUUUCGUGAACCGUUGGGUAGUUUUUGAGUUUAUUGCACUCAGACGCGGCGGGCGACUUUAUUUUGUAAUACGCAGUGACCUAAGUUAUUAAUUGGUAAGUUUGAAGAAAGGCUCUUUACCAUUACAGCGGAUAAAUAUAUGAAAA
Molecule: RNA transcript, 4927 nt
Organism: Manduca sexta (tobacco hornworm)
Lineage: Eukaryota; Metazoa; Arthropoda; Insecta; Lepidoptera; Sphingidae
Gene name: extensin-2
Exons: 6
Source: RefSeq, a predicted model, not a curated record